This is a long non-coding RNA of Trematomus bernacchii (emerald rockcod), 599 nucleotides long. RefSeq lists it as uncharacterized. NCBI's taxonomy places the organism in Eukaryota, Metazoa, Chordata, Actinopteri, Perciformes, Nototheniidae. The transcript has 2 exons. The record is from RefSeq and is a predicted model, not a curated record.
CAGGAUCAGAGGAGAGACGAUCAGAGCCAAGAUCCAGAAGAACUGAACUCCCAUCCCCCGAGUCCUGCGGCAGGAAGCGCUCCUUCUCUCCAAGAACUCCUGGACCCUGCAAGCUGCUCCAGAACCAGAGUCCCAGUGAGGAGUCCAGCCAGUCCACCUCUCAGAGUUAAACUAAACUACAACGUUAUUAAAGAUCAUGUUUAAAGUUAAAAAAGGAUGCUUUCAGACUGAAUCCAGAAGUUUCUCAAGCUGCAGUCAAAGCAGGUCAUUUGAGAAAUAUAUAAAACAAUUAUAAAACUGUAAUAAGAAUUACUCUGAAUACUUUCUUUGGACAUUUUAUUUACAUUUGUUUUCAACAAAUAUUUCAAAUGUUUCUGACUUUCUAUCCGAGUGCUUUUCUCAUGAACUAUCUUCUUUCUUUUCUUGUGUAUUUCAUAAACAGGAUAUUGUUGUUUGUACUUAUACUUAGAUUUUUAAAAUAAAUAUCCCACUUCUUGUACUUAUAUCCUGAUUGAUGAGUCAGCAGUAAAGCAGCCAGGCGUUAACGGUCAGCUGGCAUGUGUAUCUGUUCAUUGGCUCAUAUGUGUAGCAUGUUUAAU